RNAcentral lists this ribosomal RNA (188 nucleotides) under Salmonella enterica subsp. enterica serovar Infantis. RNAcentral describes it as "partial 23S ribosomal RNA". It matches the Rfam family "Bacterial large subunit ribosomal RNA", at positions 2755 to 2925 of the family's 2925-position model. RNAcentral also lists the same sequence under 1 other name. The record is from RNAcentral. Lineage: Bacteria; Pseudomonadati; Pseudomonadota; Gammaproteobacteria; Enterobacterales; Enterobacteriaceae.
GCGGAAGAGAUAAGUGCUGAAAGCAUCUAAGCACGAAACUUGCCCCGAGAUGAGUUCUCCCUGAGACUUAGAGUCUCCUGAAGGAACGUUGAAGACGACGACGUUGAUAGGCCGGGUGUGUAAGCGCAGCGAUGCGUUGAGCUAACCGGUACUAAUGAACCGUGAGGCUUAACCUUACAACGCCGAAG